GACGAACGCUGGCGGCGUGCCUAACACAUGCAAGUUGAGCGACGAACCAGGGCUUGCCCUGGGGCAAAGCAGCGAACGGGUGAGUAACACGUGGGUAACCUACCCCGAUAACCGGGACAACCCGAGGAAACUCGGGCUAAUACCGGAUGUGCUCACUGGACUUCGGUUCAGUGCGUAAAGGAAGCUUCGGCCUCCGUAUCGGGAGGGGCCCGCGGCCCAUUAGUUUGUUGGUGAGGUAACGGCUCACCAAGACCGCGAUGGGUAGCUGGUCUGAGAGGACGAUCCGCGACACUGGGACUGAGACACGGCCCAGACUCCUACGGGAGGCAGCAGUGGGGAAUCUUGCGCAAUGCGCGAAAGCGUGACGCAGCAACGCCGCGUGGGGGAAGAAGGCCUUCGGGUUGUAAACCCCUUUCAGGAGGGACGAAGGUUCGGCGGUGAAUAGCCGUCCGGACUGACGGUACCUCCACAAGAAGCCCCGGCUAACUACGUG
Molecule: ribosomal RNA, 493 nt
Filed under: uncultured bacterium
Lineage: Bacteria
Description: partial 16S ribosomal RNA
Rfam family: Bacterial small subunit ribosomal RNA
Source: RNAcentral